Ribosomal RNA from Pteropus vampyrus (large flying fox), 119 nucleotides. Lineage: Eukaryota; Metazoa; Chordata; Mammalia; Chiroptera; Pteropodidae. The record is from Ensembl.
GUCUAUGGCCAUGCUAUCCUGAACAAGCCCAAUCUUGUCUGAUCUCAGAAGCCAAGCACGGUCGGGUCUGGUUAGUAUUUAGAUGGGAGAACACCUAGGAAGACCAGGUGCUGUAGGUG